AAAAGCCUCGACUUUUUGGAAGAGGUGUAUUUAUUAGAUUCAAACCAACAUAGGUUCACGCCUAUUAUAUGGUGAUUCAUAAUAAACAUGCGAAUCGGUAGAUUUCUACCGAUGAAUCAUUCAAGUUUCUGCCCUAUCAGCUGUCGAUGGUAGGGUAUUGGCCUACCAUGGCUCUAACGGGUAACGGAGAAUUAGGGUUCGAUUCCGGAGAGGGAGCCUGAGAAACGGCUACCACAUCCAAGGAAGGCAGCAGGCGCGUAAAUUACCCAAUCCUAAUUCAGGGAGGUAGUGACAAGAAAUAACAAUACAGGACUUUUUAAGUCUUGUAAUUGGAAUGAGUACAAUUUAAACCCUUUAACGAGGAUCAAUUGGAGGGCAAGUCUGGUGCCAGCAGCCGCGGUAAUUCCAGCUCCAAUAGCGUAUAUUAAAGUUGUUGCAGUUAAAAAGCUCGUAGUUGAAUUUCGGCAGAUGUUUGCGCUUAACGCGAAAAACUCAGCCUAUUGUAGUUCUUGCAGUGGGUAUUAACUUACCUGUUGUUGGUGCUACAUCAUUUACUGUGAAAAAAUUAGAGUGUUC
RNAcentral lists this ribosomal RNA (576 nucleotides) under uncultured eukaryote. RNAcentral describes it as "bacterial SSU rRNA". It matches the Rfam family "Eukaryotic small subunit ribosomal RNA", at positions 174 to 776 of the family's 1831-position model. The record is from RNAcentral.